This 830-nucleotide ribosomal RNA is filed under the name Scedosporium apiospermum. RNAcentral's name for it is "eukaryotic LSU rRNA". It matches the Rfam family "Eukaryotic large subunit ribosomal RNA", at positions 63 to 918 of the family's 3401-position model. Lineage: Eukaryota; Fungi; Ascomycota; Sordariomycetes; Microascales; Microascaceae. The record is from RNAcentral.
AACCAACAGGGAUUGCCUCAGUAACGGCGAGUGAAGCGGCAACAGCUCAAAUUUGAAAUCUGGCGGCCUCUGGGCCGUCCGAGUUGUAAUUUGAAGAGGAUGCUUUUGGCGAGGCGCCUUCCGAGUGCCCUGGAACGGGACGCCACAGAGGGUGAGAGCCCCGUAUGGUUGGACGCCGAGCCUCUGUAAAGCUCCUUCGACGAGUCGAGUAGUUUGGGAAUGCUGCUCAAAAUGGGAGGUAAACCCCUUCUAAAGCUAAAUACUGGCCAGAGACCGAUAGCGCACAAGUAGAGUGAUCGAAAGAUGAAAAGCACUUUGAAAAGAGAGUUAAAUAGCACGUGAAAUUGUUGAAAGGGAAGCGCUUGCGACCAGACUUGUGCCCGUCGAAUCAGCCGCCGCUCGCCGGCGGCGCACUUCGGCGGGCUCAGGCCAGCAUCAGUUCGCUGCAGGGGGAGAAAGGCGGCGGGAAUGUGGCUCUUCGGAGUGUUAUAGCCCGCCGCGCAAUACCCCUCGGCGGACUGAGGACCGCGCAUCUGCAAGGAUGCUGGCGUAAUGGUCGUCAGCGACCCGUCUUGAAACACGGACCAAGGAGUCGUCCUAAUAUGCGAGUGUUCGGGUGUAAAACCCCUGCGCGUAAUGAAAGUGAACGGAGGUGAGAGCUUCGGCGCAUCAUCGACCGAUCCUGAUGUUCUCGGAUGGAUUUGAGUAAGAGCAUAUUGGGCCGGACCCGAAAGAAGGUGAACUAUGCCUGUAUAGGGUAAAGCCAGAGGAAACUCUGGUGGAGGCUCGCAGCGGUUCUGACGUGCAAAUCGAUCGUCAAAUAUGGGCAU